UUGAGCCAUUUUGCGCACGAGAAAAGCGUUUCAUAAACUUGGACGCGAACAGGUCCAGUCGUCGAGUCACAGGCUCAAAUAUGGGCAUAGGUGCUAAUAUGAUGAGCUGGGCAACCACUAUUUGCAGCCGUCAAGUAACAUUCCGUAAGUAUUCAGUAACAAAGGCUACCUAACCUAACCUAACCUGAUACGCAUACAUAUGCUUAUAUUUUUUUUCUCGUCGAAUGAAAAGGAAGCGAGAGAAAGGGAGAGGGCCCGAGCCUCUGGGAGCCGAGGAGAAUCCCCAAAACGCAAUACCAUACGCCGCAGUACGUGUUAUUUUGUUCUGGAAUCUUCCAAAGUCAUACCAAGACACUUAUGAAACAUUGACUGCCACGGUCGUCAAAGAAGUCCCAUAACUAAGGAACUGAGUAUUGUGUGGCAAAAAACCAAAGUUUAUUGGCCAAUCACGGAAUGGAAAACAAAUUUGCAAAGCUUGA
Tigriopus californicus is the source of this 479-nucleotide long non-coding RNA. RefSeq lists it as uncharacterized. NCBI's taxonomy places the organism in Eukaryota, Metazoa, Arthropoda, Copepoda, Harpacticoida, Harpacticidae. The transcript is spliced from 2 exons. The record is from RefSeq and is a predicted model, not a curated record.